Molecule: ribosomal RNA, 1149 nt
Filed under: Escherichia coli
Lineage: Bacteria; Pseudomonadati; Pseudomonadota; Gammaproteobacteria; Enterobacterales; Enterobacteriaceae
Description: partial 23S ribosomal RNA
Rfam family: Bacterial large subunit ribosomal RNA
Source: RNAcentral
GGUUAAGCGACUAAGCGUACACGGUGGAUGCCCUGGCAGUCAGAGGCGAUGAAGGACGUGCUAAUCUGCGAUAAGCGUCGGUAAGGUGAUAUGAACCGUUAUAACCGGCGAUUUCCGAAUGGGGAAACCCAGUGUGAUUCGUCACACUAUCAUUAACUGAAUCCAUAGGUUAAUGAGGCGAACCGGGGGAACUGAAACAUCUAAGUACCCCGAGGAAAAGAAAUCAACCGAGAUUCCCCCAGUAGCGGCGAGCGAACGGGGAGCAGCCCAGAGCCUGAAUCAGUGUGUGUGUUAGUGGAAGCGUCUGGAAAGGCGCGCGAUACAGGGUGACAGCCCCGUACACAAAAAUACACAUACUGUGAGCUCGAUGAGUAGGGCGGGACACGUGGUAUCCUGUCUGAAUAUGGGGGGACCAUCCUCCAAGGCUAAAUACUCCUGACUGACCGAUAGUGAACCAGUACCGUGAGGGAAAGGCGAAAAGAACCCCGGCGAGGGGAGUGAAAAAGAACCUGAAACCGUGUACGUACAAGCAGUGGGAGCACGCUUAGGCGUGUGACUGCGUACCUUUUGUAUAAUGGGUCAGCGACUUAUAUUCUGUAGCAAGGUUAACCGAAUAGGGGAGCCGAAGGGAAACCGAGUCUUAACUGGGCGUUAAGUUGCAGGGUAUAGACCCGAAACCCGGUGAUCUAGCCAUGGGCAGGUUGAAGGUUGGGUAACACUAACUGGAGGACCGAACCGACUAAUGUUGAAAAAUUAGCGGAUGACUUGUGGCUGGGGGUGAAAGGCCAAUCAAACCGGGAGAUAGCUGGUUCUCCCCGAAAGCUAUUUAGGUAGCGCCUCGUGAAUUCAUCUCCGGGGGUAGAGCACUGUUUCGGCAAGGGGGUCAUCCCGACUUACCAACCCGAUGCAAACUGCGAAUACCGGAGAAUGUUAUCACGGGAGACACACGGCGGGUGCUAACGUCCGUCGUGAAGAGGGAAACAACCCAGACCGCCAGCUAAGGUCCCAAAGUCAUGGUUAAGUGGGAAACGAUGUGGGAAGGCCCAGACAGCCAGGAUGUUGGCUUAGAAGCAGCCAUCAUUUAAAGAAAGCGUAAUAGCUCACUGGUCGAGUCGGCCUGCGCGGAAGAUGUAACGGGGCUAAACCAUG